This 253-nucleotide ribosomal RNA is filed under the name uncultured prokaryote. RNAcentral's name for it is "partial 16S ribosomal RNA". It matches the Rfam family "Bacterial small subunit ribosomal RNA", at positions 525 to 777 of the family's 1533-position model. The record is from RNAcentral.
ACGGAGGGUGCAAGCGUUAUCCGGAUUUAUUGGGUUUAAAGGGUCCGUAGGCGGGCCGAUAAGUCAGUGGUGAAAUCUCGCAGCUUAACUGUGAAACUGCCAUUGAUACUGUUGGUCUUGAGUAAAUUUGAAGUGGCUGGAAUAAGUAGUGUAGCGGUGAAAUGCAUAGAUAUUACUUAGAACACCAAUUGCGAAGGCAGGUCACUAAGAUUUAACUGACGCUGAUGGACGAAAGCGUGGGUAGCGAACAGGA